This 496-nucleotide ribosomal RNA is filed under the name uncultured bacterium. Its description in RNAcentral is "partial 16S ribosomal RNA". It matches the Rfam family "Bacterial small subunit ribosomal RNA", at positions 29 to 507 of the family's 1533-position model. The record is from RNAcentral.
AUGAACGCUGGCGGCGUGCCUCAUACAUGCCAGUCGAGCGAACGGACGAGAAGCUUGCUUCUCUGAUGUUAGCGGCGGACGGGUGAGUAACACGUGGAUAACCUACCUAUAAGACUGGGAUAACUUCGGGAAACCGGAGCUAAUACCGGAUGAUAUUUUGAACCGCAUGGUUCAAAAGUGAAAGACGGUCUUGCUGUCACUUAUAGAUGGAUCCGCGCUGCAUUAGCUAGUUGGUAAGGUAACGGCUUACCAAGGCAACGAUGCAUAGCCGACCUGAGAGGGUGAUCGGCCACACUGGAACUGAGACACGGUCCAGACUCCUACGGGAGGCAGCAGUAGGGAAUCUUCCGCAAUGGGCGAAAGCCUGACGGAGCAACGCCGCGUGAGUGAUGAAGGUCUUCGGAUCGUAAAACUCUGUUAUUAGGGAAGAACAUAUGCGUAAGUAACUGUGCACAUCUUGACGGUACCUAAUCAGAAAGCCACGGCUAACUACGUG